This 253-nucleotide ribosomal RNA is filed under the name uncultured bacterium. RNAcentral describes it as "partial 16S ribosomal RNA". It matches the Rfam family "Archaeal small subunit ribosomal RNA", at positions 474 to 727 of the family's 1478-position model. The record is from RNAcentral.
UACUCGGAGUCCAAGUGAUUGCCACUAUUAUUGGGUCUAAAGCGUCCGUAGCCGGUUCCUUAAGUCCCUGGUGAAAUCUGGCAGCAAACUGUCAGGCGUGCUGGGGUUACUGAGGGGCUAGAGACCGGGAGAGGGCAUAGGUACUCGUAGGGUAGGGGUUAAAUCCUAUAAUCCUACGGGGACCACCUGUGGCGAAGGCGUAUGCCUGGAACGGGUCUGACGGUGAGGGACGAAAGCUAGGGGAGCGAUCGGG